This 443-nucleotide ribosomal RNA is filed under the name uncultured Choanoflagellida. Its description in RNAcentral is "eukaryotic LSU rRNA". The stretch from base 388 to 443 matches the Rfam family "Eukaryotic large subunit ribosomal RNA", at positions 1 to 56 of the family's 3401-position model. Lineage: Eukaryota; Choanoflagellata. The record is from RNAcentral.
AGUCGAGAGAGUGAAUCAUCGAAUCUUUGAACGCAUAUUGCACUUACCGGCCCGUGCGCCGGUGAGUAUGCCUGACUGAGUAUAGGUAACACACUUAUUAUCACGGCGUGUGACCAAGCCGUAUUUAGACGGUCGGGACACGCAGGUGGACAUGGUCCAUGGGUUAAUAUAGGAUCAAGGCUGCUUUUACAGCGGUCUAGUCAAGUAUAUAUACCCUGCGACUAAAAGGUAUGGCAAGUGUAUGUUGGCCAACGGGCGCUCUAGUAUGGACACGCCGCGCAGUAUGGAUACGAACCGGAAACGGGGACCCCCACUGUGUGCGCGCUGAUCAGAACGACGUAUAUAAACUGUGACCGGCAUGCCAAGCCCCUGGAACCCCUACUACUCUUAUCUCAGGUCAGGCAAGACUACCCGCUGAACUUAAGCAUAUCAAUAAGCGGAGG